GACUCCUGUGUUUUGCAGAGUUUAAUGAGAAAAUCCUGAUGUUACAAGUCUCUCUGCCUUUCCUUCACCAGGUUUGCUCCCAAAAUCCUGAAGUUGCUUCCCAACCCCAAAGGACCAGUCAGUCACACCCAAAAUGUUUCUAUCAAAAACUCCCAGAGGGACAGAGCAAGAGCGAGUGUGGCAUCGGAGAGCAGGGCUCGCCCGUGUCCUGCUUCAGCCAGAUGCAGCCGUGGUGGCUGAGGGACCUGUACCAGCCCCUGGAGGCCCACCACAUGGAACACAUGAGCCAGCUGUACGACCUGACCUCCGAGGAGGAGGAGGAAGUUUUCAGCAAGUCCAGGCUAAAGUAGGUGGGGUGGCCGCGAUGGCCACGCUCGGUCUGCAGCUCUCGAUCUGCUGUAGGAACUGCUGGGGCUGUCCUCGGCUGUUUCCUUGGCAGUUACUUCCUUGGCUGUUAUUUCCUUGGAUGCUACUUCCUUGGCUGUUUCCUUGACUUUUAUUUCUUUGGUUGUUAUUUCCUUGACUGUUUCCUUGCCGUUAUUUCCUUGGAUGUUACUUCCUUGGCAGUUACUUCCUUGGAUGUUAUUUAGUUGGAUGUUAUUUCCUUGGAUGUUACUUCCUUGGAUGUUACUUCCUUGGAUGUUUCCUUGGCUGUUAUUUCCUUGGCGUUAUUUCCUUGGCUGUUUCCUUGGCUGUUAUUUCCUUGCUGUUAUUUCCUUGGCUGUUUCCUUGCUGUUAUUUCCUUGCUGUUGUUU
This 755-nucleotide long non-coding RNA is filed under the name Falco tinnunculus (common kestrel). RNAcentral describes it as "lncRNA (ENSFTIG00000001293.1)". The record is from RNAcentral. Lineage: Eukaryota; Metazoa; Chordata; Aves; Falconiformes; Falconidae.